Molecule: long non-coding RNA, 2565 nt
Organism: Rhincodon typus (whale shark)
Lineage: Eukaryota; Metazoa; Chordata; Chondrichthyes; Orectolobiformes; Rhincodontidae
Exons: 2
Source: RefSeq, a predicted model, not a curated record
CAUCUGCAGCUCCUACUAUCUCAGUUUUUGUGUCAGCUGCCACCUUCCCUCAACUGUCUAGAAAACAGAAAUGAGCUGCCACAAAGCUAGAGUGUAAGAGGGGAAAACUUAAUUAAUACACAUUAUUUAAUUUUAGGUCAUUUGGCAAAGACAAGAAAUCUAUUCAGGCUUCGAUCAGAAGAAAUAAAGAAACCAACACUGUAUUAGCCAGGCUCAACAGUGAAUUACAACAGCAGCUAAAGGAUGUGCUCGAGGAGAGAAUUUCUCUCGAGGUCCAGCUGGAGCAGCUUCGGCCGUUUUCACACUUGUAACGGAGCAGCCGAGGUGCUUGGAUGGGACUAAAAAAACCCGUGUUUGAUCUGAACGUGUCAUGGUACCCUCCUCCUGCAGAUAGCUUACACCUGUGUUCAGCUUCGCCAGUCUACAAUGAAGCAAUAGUUUACAUGGUUCCUUUCAUCGAGCUGCACAUUUGACAUAUGGCUCCAGUAUGUUUAAGAGGCGGCGUCUUAUGGUUGGGGGGGUGGGGGUGGGAAGGUGGGCGGGAUGGGUGGUGAUAUAAGAGGGUGUUGUAAAACUGGUGGGCAUUCAAGCCCUGGGUGAGGAGGAUUUUUUUUUGUUGAUUCUACAGAAGAGCAAAUAAUUUCACAACCCCUCCCAGAUCAGUCCAACAUGACAGAACUGGCUUACCGACAGGACAGAAAUCCUAAGCGAGCUGAUGGCUUGUUGAGUACUUGGGAUUUGCAUAUGAAAGGUGGAGUUAUCAGCAACAUUGAUGCACCUAUGCUCAAUUAAUCAGUCUCCUUAACUGUAUGGACAUGUUAAUAUAGAAUUGUGAUUGUGCAAAGACUAGGGAUGGAAGAGCUGUGCUUGAAUGGAAAAUUGUUUCCUGUGUCAGUGUCAAAAUACUUUUCUCCUGAAUCUGCGUAACUUUUUCAUUUUGGAUGAGGAGUUGAGUUUUAUUCUGGUAUAUUGUGAGAGGAAAUGGCUUAUCUUGCCCUUAAAGAUUUAAGGUCACGAAAAAAAAUCCAUUGAUUUCCUACAGUAAAUGAUUUCCCUAUACAUUUAGAACAAGCUCGGAAAUACAUAAUGAAAUAUUUUGCACUACUAAAGUAUGUGUGUGUUCAUGAUUGGUAGGCAUGGUUCAAAACCACUUUUUAAUUGGAGGAUGUGAAAGGUAAUAUAUGCUUGAAGCCUGGGUGAAAGUUUAGGGACAGUCGCUUUUUUUAAAUACAUGUUUGACAGUCACUCACUAAGGACUGUGUUUAUGAUAAAGCGGUCUGUUGAUUAGAUAUGUCGAUAUGGUCGUGGUGAGUUGGCCUUUUUAACUUGAGUGCACUGAACUCACUAAUCAAGCUGCUGUGUAUCCCAGUGGCUUAACUGUUUCAUAGUGUAUGUGAAGCCCGACUGCUGCACAUGCACCCGUUAUUAAGGGAGGUGGGUGUGCAGUGUUUUGUGUUUGGCUUUGCAAUUUCCAUCUAUUUCUGCAUAAUUUAUCCAUCAAAAGAAGCAGGAUCCUGAAUGGCAAGUCUCACCUGUGAGGAGGAGAAAAAUGUGUAAAUACUGUGUCACUUCUCAGCAUUUGUGAAAGGGAGAUCAGCUAGUAUUUGGCAUAAACAAGUUUGGGGUGAGAUGUCUGUGUGGCACCUUAAGUCACAUUAAAAACCACCACUUGAGGGUGAAUCCCUGUGCAGUUUUGCAUGAAAUGUGUGUUAAGCAGAUGCAUCUAUACUCCCCUUGCCCUAUUCUCACUCCAAAAUGAAUUAAAAUAUGUGGGGUUUGUGCAUUAGCAGAGUAUGUGGGGUAAAUUGUAAUGAUUUAGGACAGAAUCUCUUUGUGUGUGUGUGUGUGUGUGUGUGUGUGUAUGUAUGUUGAUGACUUGCAGUUCUGUGGUUUCUCUCAAUACCGCCUCUAUCUGCAUGUUACUGACCGAUUUCCAUUCCACCAACAUAGCCUUCUGAGUACUGAAUACAUACUGUGCACCUCCCUGACACUGGUAAAGUGAUCCUCUUCGAAUUUAAAUGGGAGUUUAAUCAAAAAUUGUACAGAACUAGAGAAUAUUUCUUUAAAUUAUUAUGUGAAAAGCAAGAUUUUAUAAUUGUUUGACUUCAGUGUUCAGUAUUGUAAGGGUUAAUGUGAUUUGCAGUUUCUUUUGUCUGAAUAUAUAUAUAUACACACUCAUCUCUAUUUAAAAAAAGAAAAAAAAAACUUUCUUUGCAUUUGGGAUUGUUUUGUUUUUGUAAUUUCAAACCUUAUUGUUCUAGCUUUGUACUUCAAAAGAGAGAAGGGAUGAACAGGGAGGGAAGGCUUCACAUCCUGGCCUAAUCACAGUCACCUUGUUAUUCAGGUCAAUGUACUGUAUAAGGGGUAUGAUGUAAAUUGUAUAAUACACUUUUGAUCUUGUAUGUAAAUUUCCAUUAAAUUGCUGACUAACAGCAGCUUUAUUUAAUUGCUUUAAUCUAGCUCUGGGAUCUUGGAUGUUAAAGUGCAUGGAUGUAUCUUGGCAGAGCAAACUAGCAACUGUGAUUUUUACACCAAUAAAACAGUACAAUAUUUUACCUGACUGUC